CCCAACUUGAGUUCCUAUUUCUCAACCCUAGCCCAAACCCUAGCCGGCCCUCUGUCUCUCUCUCGCUCGCUGAGAGGAAGAAUCUGGAGAAGAUGUCGCACUUCGGAAGAUCUGGUCCUCCAGACAUCAGAGACACCUAUUCGCUCCUCGUUCUCAACAUCACUUUCCGAACCACUGCAGAUGAUUUGUUCCCCCUCUUCGAGAAGUAUGGCAAGGUGGUCGAUGUCUUCAUCCCGAGAGACCGGAGGACUGGUGAUUCGCGUGGUUUUGCGUUUGUUCGGUACAAGUAUGCCGACGAAGCUCAGAAGGCGGUCGAAAAGCUAGAUGGGAGAGUUGUUGAUGGCAGAGAGAUAAUGGUUCAAUUUGCUAAGUAUGGACCUAAUGCUGAACGAAUUCAUAAAGGGAGAAUACUAGAGCCCGUAUCAAGGUCAAAAGGUAGGUCAAGAAGCCGGAGUCCUCGACCAAGGUAUAGGGAUGAAUACAAAGACAAAGAUUACAGGAGGAGAAGUCGCAGCAGAAGUAGGGGUAAGUAUGACCGUGACCGGCAGCGUGGAAGGGAAAGAGAUUAUCGUCAUCGGAGUAGGAGCCGCAGUGUAAGUCCUGAUUAUCGCAAAGACCGUGGGAGAGCGAGGUAUGAUGAUGAGAGGCGCAGUCCAAGUCGGUCUUAUGGAAGUGCCUCCCCUGCUCGUCGUAGCCCCAGUCCUCAGAGGAGCCCCUCUCCACGUAGGACACCUCCAUCUAGGAAUCGGAGUCCUGAUUCUCGCAAUGGUGAAGAACGUUCACAUAGUCCCAAAGAUAUUUCGCCGCAAGGCAGACCUGCUGAUUCCCGGAGCCCCUCUCCACGUUCUGAUGCUGAUGAGUAAAGGAGCAGACAUAUGAUAUGGUGGAUCCUCAGCUAGAGUUCCUGCUCAUCGUACUGUGUUUAGUUGCAACUGUUCUGGAGAGAAUAUCUUGGGAUUUUGACUGUUAUUAUAAAGUUAUUGGAUGCUAGAACUGAUUUCCCCUGGCUGAUCUUUAAGAGUGAAUGUGGAUUACUGGGCGAUGAUGUAGCAGCUGUUGAUGCUGUCUUUACUUUGCGGUUGGUUGAUAUCAUUUUUUGCGGUUGCAAAGUACAAUGUGUUUAUGAAUUUUCUGUGAUGCUGUCAUCGGUGGCAGUUGUAGUAGCUGUUAUGGCUUACAAGAUGGUUGCUGUUCACAUGCCUUAACAUGUAGCUGAUGCAGCUAAACUGCUGGACCGGAUAGACUGUAUUGCCGAUCAUAAUAUUAUAACCUUUGCUUGGCGGGAUAUUGUACCAUAAGGAUGUGUGAAAUACAAUUUGGCACAUGCAACAGUCUUAUGCUCUUAAGCUGAUGCUAGUUGCAUAUUGUUACAGCACGUGAGGUCGUGAUUGUAGAUAUGAAGUGAUAGCCGAUCCCUCAUACAUCGGUUGUUGCUGCACCUCUUGCUGAUAACUGUUGAACCUGGUCUUACUAUUUUUCGUGUUGAUAAGUGAUGCUUGAUAAUGGUAGCUGUGGUGCAGCUGGCUGCAGUAGCUGUUCAUUGUUUCAUUUGCUUCCAGCACGUGCUGCAGAUCCUGAUUUUUUAUGUUUUCUGUCUCAAAUAGUCAUUUGCAUUGCUCUGAAAAGGUAUUUUUUUUUCCAGUUGCAUCCAUUUCUUUGUCCUUCCUGUUGCCAUAUAACUUUUGAGCUUCAUGUAGAUUUUGAUGCCUCUGGUCAAUUUACACUUGGAUUUUUCUAGUACCUUAUAUCAUAUGCAAUUUGUAGUGAUUAUUUGUUACUGGAAAUUUCAAUCGAGUUUGCAUUAAUGGUAAUCCAUCCAAUAGUAUUCGGUAUGUUUCAAUUC
Molecule: RNA transcript, 1843 nt
Organism: Diospyros lotus (date-plum)
Lineage: Eukaryota; Viridiplantae; Streptophyta; Magnoliopsida; Ericales; Ebenaceae
Gene name: serine/arginine-rich splicing factor SC35-like
Exons: 11
Source: RefSeq, a predicted model, not a curated record